Molecule: ribosomal RNA, 361 nt
Filed under: Clostridioides difficile
Lineage: Bacteria; Bacillati; Bacillota; Clostridia; Peptostreptococcales; Peptostreptococcaceae
Description: partial 23S ribosomal RNA
Rfam family: Bacterial large subunit ribosomal RNA
Source: RNAcentral
GAGGGGAGUGAAAUAGAACCUGAAACCCUGCACUUACAAGCUGUGGAAGCACAUUUCUUGUGUGACCGCGUACUUUUUGUAGAACGGGCCAACGAGUUACGUUAAGUAGCAAGGUUAAGCACUUAAGGUGUGGAGCCGUAGCGAAAGCGAGUUUUAACUGAGCGUUCAGUUACUUGACGUAGACCCGAAGCCGGGCGACCUACCCAUGAGCAGGAUGAAGCGAAAGUAAAAUUUCGUGGAGGUCCGAACCCACGAGCGUUGAAAAGCUCGGGGAUGACUUGUGGGUAGCGGUGAAAUUCCAAUCGAGCCCGGAGAUAGCUGGUUCUCCCCGAAAUAGCUUUAGGGCUAGCCUCAAGGUGAG